UACGGCUAUAUUAAGUUGAAAGACCGGUUCUCGUCCAAUCACCGAAGUUAAGCAACGUCUAGCCUGGUCAGUAUCUAGAUGGGUGACUGCUUGGGAAUACCAGGUGCUGUAAG
RNAcentral lists this ribosomal RNA (113 nucleotides) under Acanthosepion pharaonis. Lineage: Eukaryota; Metazoa; Mollusca; Cephalopoda; Sepiida; Sepiidae. The record is from RNAcentral.